Molecule: long non-coding RNA, 378 nt
Filed under: Panax ginseng (ginseng)
Lineage: Eukaryota; Viridiplantae; Streptophyta; Magnoliopsida; Apiales; Araliaceae
Description: long non-coding RNA (PGIN_LNC014492)
Source: RNAcentral
CGAAAAAUAUUUUUGUUUAAGAAUUUUAGGAAUAUUUUAGAGUUAUGAUAAGACUUUUGUUUAAUGGAGUUGUGUCUCCAAAGUUAUGUUUUUAAUAUUUAGUUAUUGAAUCUUAGUGUAAAUUUUUUAAAAACUAUUUGGUUUCAAGUUAGUUUUAUUAUUGUGUUUUCGUUUGGGCUGCGCUAUUGAUAUUGUUGCCUUGCGGGUCUUUGGGUUUGCUGCGUGUGGAACUCUGGACAUGUAGCAGGUUCGAGGUGUUAUAGAGAUGGUAUAAGAGCAGUGGCCCCUCGCAGUGUGUCGGCUAGGAAACCCACAUUUCCUGGGGAGUGAUUUUGGGAUUUAAUUGUGGGUUGUGAUUUGACUAGACUUAAGAAAUAG